Molecule: long non-coding RNA, 3380 nt
Organism: Xenopus tropicalis (tropical clawed frog)
Lineage: Eukaryota; Metazoa; Chordata; Amphibia; Anura; Pipidae
Exons: 13
Source: RefSeq, a predicted model, not a curated record
UCGGCUGCUGUGCCUGAUGUCUCUCCUGUGAUUUUCAGCUUCUUCUGCCCAGAACCCCUGGCACCCAAGAUUUCCUCUGAAAUUGUAAGGGACUGAAUUUAACCUAAAGACCCUCUACCUUCACUAUGCCUAUAAGGGCCCAGCUGCAAGAGAGAAAGAGAAUGAGGCAUUGAGAGCAAGAGGAGUUCUACAUCUACAUCAUACUGGAAGUUACCAUAACGUUGAAUAUGAAAUGAGGAAACUUUGGCCGUCGCUGGAAAAUAAAAUGCUGCAUAUGCUUUCCCACUGGCAUUCACUUUAUUGAACAUGGGAAGGCAUUUUGGUCUCUGGCAGUAGUGGAGAUUUAACGACUGGUGACUAAUCUCCCUAUGGGGAAUUGUUGAAUCCUCUGUGGAUAACCCCCUCAGCUGAUACCUCAUAAUAGACCAUGGCUAGGAUGUGUAUGGGCAUAGCUAGAAAUCAUCCAAAAAGCUCUUGUAGAUAAGAGGAUGACUUAUCUUUGCUAAUUUCUCAAUGGUAGCUAUGGGUUACAACAGCAGUUUUUUUUCUGCCCCCAUCGUCUGCUAUGCCUUCACAAAAUUACCGAACACAGUAAUUACUGGUACUGGAAACACUGGAGACAGACUUUUUCUGCCACCGCAAUCAUAGUCUUACGCUUUUUCUACUGUGCCCUUUGUUCUUUUUUAAAAAAAUUAAGGGAAAAUAUUCCUUCUUCUUAAUAUAGAAAUGUAUUGUCACCCUUUCCAUAGUUAACAGACACUUUAGGAAUCACCUUAAAUUGGCAGGUAGUGGGUUGCCCAUGAUUUUGUUGCUAUGGCAGGGGUUGGGAUGCUUGCCCCUCAAAGUUAUGCCCCAGGUCUGUGUAUAGUUCAAUUUGCAGGCAGCCAAGCUACUGACUGGGAAGCCCCUGCAUCUUAACAAAGAGAAAAAAUGAUUUUUAAUCACAAUGUGGUUUAUUUUCUAUAUUGAAGUAUGCUGUUUGUUAAUUAUACAUAAAGGAUACAUCUUUCUGUGCUGGUGAUUUAGGCAGCAGCAAAGAGAGCAAAUUGUAAGAACAUGAUUCCAAGACCCAAACAUGUAAGGGGAAUUAGAGGCCACUUAGUAUUUUUAUGGUCACUAACUAGCCCAGCUCCCUCCACAAAUCUGUUAUCUCAUCAAGAGACUUUAAAUGCUAGAGGCAUGUUAUGCAAGGGGGAGACGUUUUCACUUUUGCACCUUUAAUUUCUAGAUGUGUACUAUAUUUGAGAAAAGGCUGCUACAUUGCAGUCUAUAGACAACUUCCGUAGUGCUGGUUGGAGCAACCACAUUGGCAUAGGUACCUUGACUCAACAUCCGGUAGAACCACUCCUUCACUUUUGGACUACCCUGUGUACCCCAGGUACCACCUGUUAAAGCCACAACCUUCGACCUCUUCAUGUGACAUAAUGAGGAAGCAAAUGUAUUACAUCAGAUUUGGGUACUAUAGCUUUUUGAAUGUGGAUAUAUGUCCAAGUUGCUGCACUAAGCAUACAGCCUUCAUCCCAUGAUGGGGAAUGGUGGAGGAUUCCAAGAAUGACCAUUAUAAACAGAAUCUUCAGCCUGUUAGGCCAGUGUGAGAAUGCUUGGUAGAGCAGCCAAUACCCACAGGAGGAGGGCACCUGUCACUCGCAGGCCCUUUCUUACCUAUUAUCCCAUUAGGACCUAAAAUGCCGAAAAGUUGAAGUCCUGAAAGGCUUCUUCAAUGUCAUCUGCAAUUUCAGCACAAGGUCCUUUGGGCAGCGUUAGAUUGGCUGGCAGCUUGGUGUACUUCUCAGCAAAAUAGCUGACAUCCUCCGGUCCGUUGAGGCUGGGUACGUACGGGGCUGUUGCCUUCCCAUCAAUGAUGUCAUCCCAGGCUGUGUUCUGCAAACAGGCUGCUGUUGUUCCACAUUGGCCUCUUCGUCAUCCUCCUCAUCUUCUGCAGUGACAGUUCCCCUUUAUAUCUGGUGGCAAGGCCUCACCCUCAGGCAGGAAACAAUGGCUUUAUAUUUCCAUCAGCCUUACCUCAGUGUUUUGCUGCUGGUGCAAGAUGUUACACAGCUUGGCACCCAUCUUGAAUCUCCUGUAUCAGGAAAGAAAGAUUAGAUCUGGUUAAACUGUCUAUGGAAGAAAAAGGCAAAGGAUCACAGGUGCAUGAUGGGAAAGAGACAGCUUCCCACAGUUGAAUCCUGAGUGAGAAGGAGCCAUGUGAGUGAGGGUUUGAUGCUCGGGCCAUGCAGCACUGUAUCUGCAGCAGCGGAGGAGUUCAGUGCAACACAGAAGAACACCCCUUGCGCCUUGGUACCUCACUCAUCAGAACCAGUGGGAUCUGUCUAUGAAAGAAAAAGGCACAGAAUCAAAGGUGCAUGAUGGGAAAGAGACAGAUUCUCACAUUUGAAACCUAAGCGAGAAGGAACCAUGUGAGCAAGUCGUAUUGAUGCUUGGGCCGUGCAGCUCAGGAGGAGUUCGGUGCAACACAGAGGAACAACCCUAGCAGACUGUACCAACAUGCCCCCUGCAGAUACAACAUUUUUGAUUUUUAAGCUCUUGGUGGGAAGAAGGAAUUAAAUGCGCACUUAACUGGAGACUGUUUAUUAAAGUAUAAUGAGGUGGGACCCCCCCUUUGUUUGCUUGGCCCCUUCCGCUUUCCAUGAGGAAAUGACCAGACAGACAGCACAGCUUUGGGAGGAUGCAAACAGGAUUAUGGUUGGAUCUGGCUAAACUGUCUAUGGAAGAUAAAGGCAAAGGAUCACAGGUGCAUGAUGGGAAAGAGACAGCUUCCUACAUUUGAAUCCUGAGUGAGAAGGAGCCAUGUGAGUGAGGGUUUGAUGCUCGGGCCGUGCAGCGCAGGAGGAGUUCCAUCACUAUACCAUUAACUGAGAGACUUCAGAGCCCAAUAGGACUUGUGACCAGCCCAUUCUGGGACCCUUCCCUGCUGUGUAGGAGUUUUCUAGUGCAUUUUACUGCUGAGCCAUGGGAAGCCUUUUGUCUUUGGCUUGUUUAAUAGACUUUGGCCUCUGUCUCCACUCCUCCUUUCAUUUCAUUAUAGAAAGCUAAUCCAAUGAUUAGAGCCAGGACCUAUAUAAACCAGCUUGUCACCAUGUUUUUAGGGCUACAUAGCUGUCUGCAUCUAGUCUGUGACUCCCGAGUUCCUGGAUGAUGUAUUUUUGAGUUGUUAAACUUAUUUGGCUUUGGCCCUGGCCUGAUUCUGGACCUUGACUGCUGCCUAUCCUGAUUUUUGUUAAUUAUACUGCGCUAUGCCUUGCCUUCUGCUUACUGUGAGCAAUGGUUUGUAUACUAGACUCUGCCUUGUCUUCUGCCUGCCUUGACGGACAACUUCCAAUCUGUAUCUUCCAAUAAAAUCCAGCCUUGUUUCUUUCAAA